This 466-nucleotide ribosomal RNA is filed under the name uncultured bacterium. Its description in RNAcentral is "partial 16S ribosomal RNA". It matches the Rfam family "Bacterial small subunit ribosomal RNA", at positions 28 to 507 of the family's 1533-position model. The record is from RNAcentral.
GAUGAACGCUGGCGGCGUGCUUAACACAUGCAAGUCGAACGGAAAGGCCCAAGCUUGCUUGGGUGCUUGAGUGGCGAACGGGUGAGUAACACGUGGGUGAUCUGCCCUGCACUUUGGGAUAAGCCUGGGAAACUGGGUCUAAUACCGGAUAGGACCAUCGUUUAGUGUUGGUGGUGGAACGUUUUUCGGUGUGGGAUGAGCUCGCGGGCUAACAGCUUGUUGGUGGGGUAAUGGCCUACCUAGGCGUCGACGGGUAGCAGGCCUGAUAGGGUGUACGGCCACACUGGGACUUAGAGGCGGCCCAGACACCGACGGGUGGCAGCAGUGGGGAAUAUUGCACAAGGGGCGCAAGCCGGAUGCAGCGACUCCGCGUAGGGGAUGACGGCCUUCGGGUUGAAAACCCCAUGCGCCAAGGACGAAGCGUUUUGUGACGGUACUUGGAGAAGAAGCACCGGCUAACUACGUG